RNAcentral lists this ribosomal RNA (470 nucleotides) under uncultured organism. Its description in RNAcentral is "partial 16S ribosomal RNA". It matches the Rfam family "Bacterial small subunit ribosomal RNA", at positions 335 to 797 of the family's 1533-position model. The record is from RNAcentral.
ACUCCUACGGGAGGCAGCAGUGGGGAAUUUUGGACACUGGGCGAAAGCCUGAUCCAGCCAUGCCGCGUGCAGGAUGAAGGCCUUCGGGUUGUAAACUGCUUUUGUACGGAACGAAACGGCCUUUUCUAAUAAAGAGGGCUAAUGACGGUACCGUAAGAAUAAGCACCGGCUAACUACGUGCCAGCAGCCGCGGUAAUACGUAGGGUGCAAGCGUUAAUCGGAAUUACUGGGCGUAAAGCGUGCGCAGGCGGUUAUGUAAGACAGUUGUGAAAUCCCCGGGCUCAACCUGGGAACUGCAUCUGUGACUGCAUAGCUAGAGUACGGUAGAGGGGGAUGGAAUUCCGCGUGUAGCAGUGAAAUGCGUAGAUAUGCGGAGGAACACCGAUGGCGAAGGCAAUCCCCUGGACCUGUACUGACGCUCAUGCACGAAAGCGUGGGGAGCAAACAGGAUUAGAAACCCGUGUAGUCCC